Long non-coding RNA from Carassius carassius (crucian carp), 486 nucleotides. RefSeq lists it as uncharacterized. Lineage: Eukaryota; Metazoa; Chordata; Actinopteri; Cypriniformes; Cyprinidae. The record is from RefSeq and is a predicted model, not a curated record. The transcript has 4 exons.
CAUGGGAAGGGAAGUUAUUUCACGCGGGCAUAGCUGCCAGCGACACUGAUUGAUUACUCCACACCUAAUUUCUCAUCUGGAGUAACUACAUCUGGAGCUGAGUGCACACACUUCGGAGGCCGUCACCUGUCAAUCAUUCCUAUAAUUGAUGAUUCGGCCAAUCCUGUGUCUGCUCAACCCCCUGCGAAGGAAACUUGUACUGUAUCCACUCAGAACAGCCAGCUGCCAGUCAAAGCUUGUCACACACAGUCUUUUCCCCUGCUAGACAAAAUCAGUCAAUCCUCAUCUCACAGUUCGUCCAUAUGGAAUCAGCCCUUCUGUCAAUCAGACAGCAGAUGACUGAAUCUAUAAGAAUGAAGGCUGAGGUUGCUAGCGCAGCAAGACCGAGGCGUCCCUGAAGAUCCUGGACUCUUAAUUAUGGUGAAAUAAUCGGUGUGUGCAGCGUAGCCUCGGGCUGCCAGCACCAGAGGUGAGCUCUACACAGAC